RNAcentral lists this small RNA (142 nucleotides) under Marmota monax (woodchuck). Lineage: Eukaryota; Metazoa; Chordata; Mammalia; Rodentia; Sciuridae. The record is from RNAcentral.
GCUGGGCAUGGUGGCACAUGCCUGUAAUCCCAGUGGCUUGGGAGGCUGAGGUAGGACAUUUAUUACCCAAUGCACAUUUCCAUUCAAAGCCUCCUCAGCAACUUACUGAGGCCCUAAGCAACUUAGUAAGACCCUGUCUUAA